CUGCAUGACACGGGGUGUCCCGCCGAACGGCGGGGCUGAGACAACACCCGACGAACCUGAUCCAGUUCAUACCGGCGAAGGGAUGUCAGCGCAGUGCCUG
Molecule: non-coding RNA, 100 nt
Filed under: Vreelandella subglaciescola
Lineage: Bacteria; Pseudomonadati; Pseudomonadota; Gammaproteobacteria; Oceanospirillales; Halomonadaceae
Description: Halomonas subglaciescola TPP sequence
Rfam family: TPP riboswitch aptamer (THI element)
About the family: Vitamin B(1) in its active form thiamin pyrophosphate (TPP) is an essential coenzyme that is synthesised by coupling of pyrimidine and thiazole moieties in bacteria.
Source: Rfam by way of RNAcentral